Manis pentadactyla (Chinese pangolin) is the source of this 2568-nucleotide long non-coding RNA. RefSeq lists it as uncharacterized. Lineage: Eukaryota; Metazoa; Chordata; Mammalia; Pholidota; Manidae. The record is from RefSeq and is a predicted model, not a curated record. The transcript is spliced from 4 exons.
GGAAGGAGCCCCCAGCAGCUGUGUCUUUCCCUAGCACACUGAUGCUGGCAGGGGUCUCUGUCGAGGAUGAGGCCAUCUACCAAUGCGUGGCAGAGAACAGCGCGGGCUCCAAACAGGCCAGCACCCGCCUGGCUGUGACAGGGGACGCAGAGCCACCCCCUGCCUCCAGGGGCCUGCAGGCAGUAGGUCUUUCCACUUCUGCCAUUUGAGUGUCCUGGGAACCACGCCCCUCCAACAGGGACAUCAUUGGCUACGUGCGUGAGAGAGCCAGCUGCCCUCUAUGAGAUCAAGCUCCAGGCAUUUAAUGGCCACGGGGAUGGUAACAGCAGUGCCCACGUCGUCUCUUUGUGUGAUGUGCCGCUGGCCACCCCUGAGUGCAAGGUUGGGUGCUCUUGCAGCCAGGAUGCGAGCAGUUCAUUGCCUGGGGCUGUGGUGGGCAUCCACGUGCGCCUGGCUGCCCUCAUCAUUUGCCUCCUGUGCCACCUCCUGGGCUGGAGACAUAGGUGACCAUGGAGCAGCCGCCCUAGCCUAGAGCCCUCCAGGCUGGCUCCCUCCCGGACCCCACGAACUCUGGCCCCACCAAAGGAUCUACCUCACCCAUCACUGUCGCCCUGGAGUCAGGAAAGAAACAAAGGUCCCUCAGCCCCUCUCGGGGAGAGGCAAGUCUGACCGCAGGGAGACAGAAGAGGGUGAGGAUUCUCCGCUCCUCCCUCCUCAAGAAUGGGGGAGUCUCUGUCUUCCCCAGCAUAUCAGAUAUCCUCAAACUAAACCAAGCUUGGCUGGGAGUUAGCCUCAACCUUGUUACUCUAGCCUUAUAGCCCAUUCAAUAUAUUCUUUUGACCCAAAUAUGAACCUACCCAAAGAUAUAUAGCUUUAAGGGUGCCCCCCAAAGGGAAGGGGCAAGGCAGGGCUCUCACCAUCUCCAGCUCCACCAGGAUCCCUAGUCUGAGAGCUCAGUUGGUCUCCUCACGCCCAAGCUGAGGCCUGGCCAAAGCACAGGCACCGGGCAUUCCCUGUGGUCUGCAUGAGGAAAUGGGUGUAGAGUUCCUUUCCCCUGGUCCCAACACCGUGAGUCCUGCCAUCGGAGCUCACACGGGCUGCUUCUCUGGGCAACCAAAUACCCAUCUCCCCUCUCCAGAUCCAAAGCACUGGCCUCUUCUCAGGGGCCAUCCCUCCCCAUUUGAGUUUUAUUUUUGAAGAUGGUAUUAGUCUAAGCUGGGGUUUGGUGGCCUUGAAGCCCCUGUAGAAUGGACACAGAGGCUGUGGAGCACCCUAGCCAUCUAGGCCUUCAAUUCUAGGUGCCCAAAGAUUGCCUCCUUCCCACUCCCACCCUCUGCCAGCCUAUGGCAGCCAAUGCCCACAUCCCUCCUCAUCCAGCCCUACUACACCCUAAAGCCAAAGCCCCAACGCUCCCUCAAUCAGUGUCUCCCUCCAGGGCUGUCCAGUAUUGUGCCAGAAAGGGCGGAGGGCCCUGGAGGAAGGAAAACCCAGGGCUUAGGGGACCCCAAACACUGUCUCGUCUUUGCUCCUAUAGAGUGAGGUUAGUAGCAAUGACAAGACCCCAGCAAGGCUGGACCCUGCCUCUCCACCCCUGCCUCCUUCUGCGUAGGGGUAGAAGCAUCUUUAACUAGGAAAUGGGGCAGGGGACCAAUGGGUUAAGAAUAGCCCCGAACUUCAAGUCCUUGAGGGAAUGACAUCCUCUUCUCUGGGAGAGUCUGGUCUCAGUGCUUUGUUGGAAAUAAAAAACCAAAAGGAAAACAAUGUAUUAGGAGCUGGUUAAUAUUCUGGGUUAAAAGGAAAACUUGGGAGAGUGAGGUGUUGAGGCGGUGAGAGCACAUCCGGUCUUCCCGGGGAUGCUGCAUUCAGGUAAGGAACCAUAUCUGCAAUUGUUUUGCUAAGAAAAGAUCGCUGUGAGCUGUUGUAAGGUUCCCACCUGGAGAAAGUAACAUGUUAUAAAGGUCUUGGUUCCUGGAGACCACAGCAACGUGAUGGGCAAGGCCAACGAUAGAUGGAGACUCCACCUUCUUCCUGACACCUUCAGGUCAUUAAAUAGUGUCAGCAGCUUCCAGAACACUGGGUCCACCUGAAGGUGAGGGGAACAGUGAGACAGAAUACAGGUAAGGGCUUUAAGUAAUCAUGACAACUGAAGAAAAGGGUACAAGCCAAAGGUGCCCCACGACCGAUGGGAGUACAAGCCAUAGCUCAUCUCCAAUUACCCCUAAAAUUGCCCCACCAAAUUGCCACUCCAACCCCCACCAGGACUAAAGGCACAAGCCACAGGAAAGUUUAGAAACCAUUCCUUUCUUUAUUAAACAUAGCUUGCAAGUGAUAAAUAUUACAAAGUUUUUUUUCUUUUAAUCCUUUCUCCAAAAAUUAGCUUAUUUGAAUCUGUCACUGCUGAAAUGCUCAACAGCAUCUGAAACAGAUGGGAGUGUAUUUGCCUUUUUGAAAACCAGUUUCUAUUGGUCUUAGUUUUUUCAUUUUAAUUCCCAAACACAAUGCAGAAAAUUAGAAUGAGUUAAAAAAAAAAAAAGGAAACUUAAAAGAGAGUUGUGCAAAAGGGUCUUG